AACGAACGCUGGCGGCGCGUCUUACCCAUGCAAGUCGAGCGGCAGGCAGCAAUGCCGAGCGCGGCGGACUGGUGAGUAACACGUGGAUAACGUACCCCGAUGUCCGGGACAGCCUGUAGAAAUAGAGGGUAAUACCGGAUAGAUCACUGUUUACGUGAGGUAGACAGCGGGAAAGGAGCUUCGGCUCCGCGACGGGAUCGGUCUGCGGCCCAUCAGCUGGACGGCGGGGUAAAGGCCCGCCGUGGCGAGGACGGGUAUCCGGCCUGAGAGGGCGGACGGACACAUUGGGACUGAGAUACGGCCCAGACUCCUACGGGAGGCAGCAGGUAAGAAUAUUCCGCAAUGGGGGGAACCCUGACGGAGCGACGCCGCGUGAACGAAGAAGGCCGGAAGGUUGUAAAGUUCUUUUCUGUCCGAGGAAUAAGUUUCGGAGGAAAUGCCGGGACGGUGACGGUAGGGCAGGAAUAAGCACCGGCUAAUUACGUG
This 486-nucleotide ribosomal RNA is filed under the name uncultured bacterium. RNAcentral describes it as "partial 16S ribosomal RNA". It matches the Rfam family "Bacterial small subunit ribosomal RNA", at positions 29 to 507 of the family's 1533-position model. The record is from RNAcentral.